GCCGCGUGUGUGAAGAAGGCCUUCGGGUUGUAAAGCACUUUCGGCCGGAACGAAAUCGCGCGGGUCAAUAUCCCGCGUGGAUGACGGUACCGGAAGAAGAAGCACCGGCUAACUACGUGCCAGCAGCCGCGGUAAUACGUAGGGUGCGAGCGUUAAUCGGAAUUACUGGGCGUAAAGGGUGCGCAGGCGGCCCCGCAUGUCAGGCGUGAAAUCCCCGGGCUUAACCUGGGAAUGGCGCUUGAAACUACGGGGCUGGAGUAUGGCAGAGGGAGGUGGAAUUCCACGUGUAGCGGUGAAAUGCGUAGAGAUGUGGAGGAACACCGAUGGCGAAGGCAGCCUCCUGGGCCAAUACUGACGCUCAUGCACGAAAGCGUGGGGAGCAAACAGGAUUAGAUACCCUGGUAGUCCACGCCCUAAACGAUGAUGACUAGUUGUUGGAGGAGUUAAAUCCUUUAGUAACGCAGCUAACGCGAGAAGUCAUCCGCCUGGGGAGUACGGUCGCAAGAUUAAAACUCAAAGG
RNAcentral lists this ribosomal RNA (520 nucleotides) under uncultured bacterium. RNAcentral's name for it is "bacterial SSU rRNA". It matches the Rfam family "Bacterial small subunit ribosomal RNA", at positions 396 to 907 of the family's 1533-position model. The record is from RNAcentral.